Long non-coding RNA from Ziziphus jujuba (common jujube), 1137 nucleotides. RefSeq lists it as uncharacterized. NCBI's taxonomy places the organism in Eukaryota, Viridiplantae, Streptophyta, Magnoliopsida, Rosales, Rhamnaceae. The transcript is spliced from 2 exons. The record is from RefSeq and is a predicted model, not a curated record.
CCAUGUAAUAUGAAAAGAAAAUUUUGAAAAGAGCAAAAGUAACAAAGAGAUAAUUUGGCAAUGGUUUCAUGCAUAUAUAUAUAUAUAUAUAUAAUCAGCCUCCAAUAAUGAAUUACUUUAUUUUAUCUCUCCAUUUUCUCAUUCUAUUUCUUUUUUUUUUAUUUUCCCUUUCAUGCUCUUUCUCUCUACAUAUUCUCUCUCUACUUUCUCUCUUCACUUCUUCUUUCUACAUAAUUAAUUUCAUUAAAUGUGUAAUAUGAUAUUAAGAGUAUUUUUGUCAAUUGAUUUCAUUCUGUUAUAGAUUCACGUGGUGAUUCCAAAAAGCAAGCUGACAAAAAAAUGAAUUCCACGCACCUUCCACCUCAUUUUUAUCCUUCAUUCCAUUCCACUCUCCUUUUCCUUCCAUUCUCACAACCCAACAUCUAAUAACUUUAAUUGCACUUACAUAUUGAUCAAUUCAAUAUUUAAUAAUUUCAUAGCCGCACCAAGAAUUCAAGAAAAAAACCAUUAAAACCUUCAAGCUGGCGUGCAUGCAUUAAGCUUUCAAACUUUUAUGGAUAACAACAACAAAAAAGUCAAGAGUGAUCAACAAUUUCAAGAAACUAAUCUCUAUAAAUAACGAUCUUCUCGCAACACAAGAUCACAAACAAGGCAAAUUUCAGUACAAACCUAAGAAGAGACAGAAAAAAGUGUGAUACAUUACUUUGUUGCAAGGAUGAGUAUCGAAUGCAAAGGAAAGAGUUCAUGGCCAGAGCUUGUGGGAAAAGGAGGGAAAGUAGCUGAACAGAUAAUUGAGAGGGAGAACCCUCUUGUGGAUGCCAUUAUUGUGGAAGAAGGAACACCAAUCCCUUUGAACGUGGUCAAGCAGUGUGAUAGGGUUUGGGUUUGGGUUAACACUUAUGGCAUUGUUACACGUGUUCCAGUCAUCGGUUAAGGGCUAUAUAUAUGUGUUUCAAAAUGCUUGAGGGAAGGCCUACUUGAUUCUCUAGUAAAUACAUAUAUGUUUGUUGUAGUGUUUGCACUAUGUAAAAUAAUUCCUGAAAAAGGAUAAUAAUUAAGGAGAUGAUCCUAUGUUUUAUUCUCCAUUUGUUAUGUUAAUGGAAAUUAAAUAAAAUAUCCUUCCUCUCUCUCUCUCUC